This 323-nucleotide long non-coding RNA is filed under the name Coturnix japonica (Japanese quail). RNAcentral's name for it is "lncRNA (ENSCJPG00005002816.1)". The record is from RNAcentral. Lineage: Eukaryota; Metazoa; Chordata; Aves; Galliformes; Phasianidae.
GUCUUUGGCUCUCCAUGGGGAUCUAUUGGGUCUCUAUGGGGUUCUAUGGGGUCUCUAUGGGGUUCUAUGGGGUCUCUUUGGUUCUCCAUGGGGAUCUAUUGGGUCUCUAUGGGGUCCCUAUGGGGUUCUAUGGGGUCUCAAUGGGGGUUUAUGGGGUCUCUGGUUCUCCAUGGGGAUCUAUGGGGUCUCUAUGGGGUCCCUAUGGGGUCUCUAUGGUUCUCCAUGGUUCUCCAUGGAUCUGUUGGGUCUCUAUGGAGUCUCUCUAUGGAAUCUCAUGGGAUUCUGCGUUGGGGGUCCCUACUGGGCUCUAUGGAGUCUCUAUG